CUGACCUACGGGGCGCAGCAGUGGGGAAUAUUGGGCAAUGGAGGCAACUCUGACCCAGCAACGCCGCGUGAAUGAUGAAGGUCUUCGGAUUGUAAAGUUCUUUUCUAAGGGAAGAAGAAAGUGACGGUACCUUAGGAAUAAGCCUCGGCUAACUACGUGCCAGCAGCCGCGGUAAUACGUAGGAGGCAAGCGUUAUCCGGAAUGACUGGGCGCAAAGGGUGCGUAGGUGGUUUGACAAGUUGGUAGCGCAACUCCGGGGCUCAACCUCGGCACUACUACCAAAACUGUUGAACUUGAGUGCAGGG
This 305-nucleotide ribosomal RNA is filed under the name uncultured bacterium. Its description in RNAcentral is "bacterial SSU rRNA". It matches the Rfam family "Bacterial small subunit ribosomal RNA", at positions 334 to 653 of the family's 1533-position model. The record is from RNAcentral.